CAGCCGCCGCGGUAAUACGUAGGGUGCAAGCGUUAAUCGGAAUUACUUGGCGUAAAGCGUGCGCAGGCGGUUAUAUAAGACAGAUGUGAAAUCCCCGGGCUCAACCUGGGAACUGCAUUUGUGACUGUAUAGCUAGAGUACGGCAGAGGGGGAUGGAAUUCCGCGUGUAGCAGUGAAAUGCGUAGAUAUGCGGAGGAACACCGAUGGCGAAGGCAAUCCCCUGGGCCUGUACUGACGCUCAUGCACGAAAGCGUGGGGAGCAAACAGGAUUAGAUACCCGUGUAGUCCCUGUCUCUUAUAC
Molecule: ribosomal RNA, 301 nt
Filed under: uncultured bacterium
Lineage: Bacteria
Description: partial 16S ribosomal RNA
Rfam family: Bacterial small subunit ribosomal RNA
Source: RNAcentral